Molecule: ribosomal RNA, 607 nt
Filed under: Actinomycetales bacterium A217
Lineage: Bacteria; Bacillati; Actinomycetota; Actinomycetes; Actinomycetales
Description: bacterial SSU rRNA
Rfam family: Bacterial small subunit ribosomal RNA
Source: RNAcentral
UGCAGUCGACGAUGAACCACUUCGGUGGGGAUUAGUGGCGAACGGGUGAGUAACACGUGGGCAAUCUGCCCUUCACUCUGGGACAAGCCCUGGAAACGGGGUCUAAUACCGGAUGACACUCCUACAGGCAUCUGUGGGGGUUGAAAGCUCCGGCGGUGAAGGAUGAGCCCGCGGCCUAUCAGCUUGUUGGUGAGGUAGUGGCUCACCAAGGCGACGACGGGUAGCCGGCCUGAGAGGGCGACCGGCCACACUGGGACUGAGACACGGCCCAGACUCCUACGGGAGGCAGCAGUGGGGAAUAUUGCACAAUGGGCGAAAGCCUGAUGCAGCGACGCCGCGUGAGGGAUGACGGCCUUCGGGUUGUAAACCUCUUUCAGCAGGGAAGAAGCGAAAGUGACGGUACCUGCAGAAGAAGCGCCGGCUAACUACGUGCCAGCAGCCGCGGUAAUACGUAGGGCGCAAGCGUUGUCCGGAAUUAUUGGGCGUAAAGAGCUCGUAGGCGGUCUGUCGCGUCGGAUGUGAAAGCCCGGGGCUUAACCCCGGGUCUGCAUUCGAUACGGGCAGACUAGAGUGUGGUAGGGGAGAUCGGGAAUUCCUGGUGUAGCGG